AUUUAUAUAGUUUAACCUAAAACAUUACAUUUUCACUGUAAAAAUAAAAUAUUUUAUUUUUAUAAAUA
This 68-nucleotide transfer RNA is filed under the name Dyscolus orthomus. Its description in RNAcentral is "tRNA-Glu". The record is from RNAcentral. Lineage: Eukaryota; Metazoa; Arthropoda; Insecta; Coleoptera; Carabidae.